Molecule: transfer RNA, 72 nt
Filed under: Bos taurus (domestic cattle)
Lineage: Eukaryota; Metazoa; Chordata; Mammalia; Artiodactyla; Bovidae
Also listed under: 2 other names
Rfam family: tRNA
About the family: Transfer RNA (tRNA) molecules are approximately 80 nucleotides in length. Their secondary structure includes four short double-helical elements and three loops (D, anti-codon, and T loops).
Source: Rfam by way of RNAcentral
UCCCAAGUAGCUCAGUUAGUAAAGAAUCUGCCUGCAAAGCAGGAGACCUGGGUUCAAUCCCUGGGUCGGGAA